CCUACGGGGGGCAGCAGGGAGGAAUAGUGGGCAAUGGGCGCGAGCCUGAACCAGCCAAGUAGCGGGAAGGAUGACUGCCCUACGGGUUGUAAACUUCUUUUAUAAAGGAAUAAAGUGAGGCACGUGUGCCUUUUUGUAUGUACCUUAUGAAUAAGGAUCGGCUAACUCCGUGCCAGCAGCCGCGGUAAUACGGAGGAUCCGAGCGUUAUCCGGAUUUAUUGGGUUUAAAGGGUGCGUAGAUGGGUUGUUAAGUCAGUUGUGAAAGUUUGCGGCUCAACCGUAAAAUUGCAAUUGAUACUGGCAGCCUUGAGUACAGUUGAGGUAGGCGGAAUUCGUGGUGUAGCGGUGAAAUGCUUAGAUAUCACGAAGAACUCCGAUUGCGAAGGCAGCUUACUAGACUGCCACUGACAUUGAUGCUCGAAAGUGUGGGUAUCAAACAGGAUUAGAUACCCCUGUAGUC
Molecule: ribosomal RNA, 460 nt
Filed under: uncultured bacterium
Lineage: Bacteria
Description: partial 16S ribosomal RNA
Rfam family: Bacterial small subunit ribosomal RNA
Source: RNAcentral